CGCGCUGCCCGCCCCCCGUGCACGCCGGGCCCGCCGCUGCCCAGUGCCCAGCCCUGCGCCGCAACCCGGCGCCCCGUCCGCCCACCCUGAGCGCCACCGUGAACUCGCUCUUCAGGAAGAGAAACAGAGGCAAAUACAGCCCCACGGUUCGGACCCGCAGCCUAGAUGCUGAGAUUCUGCAUUGGGCAAAGCCCAAGCCCAGGCUGUCCGGAGGAGGCAGAGCUGCUUUCAGCUGCACGCAGGGCCAGGCCCCAGGUGGAACCACCAUGCAGUGUUUCAGAGAGGUGGGCUCAGCGUCGCCCUGCAGUCAGUUGGAAAAGUGCAGGUCAGGCCUUGCUCGCACUUCACUGGAGACCAUGCCCCCUGCUAGUGCGCCUGCCGGGUCCACUCAGCUUUGGAAAUUCAAACUGAAGGAAAGCCAACCAUCCCAUAACUUCUUUAAAAUAGUUAAGGAACCAUUCACUGCUGAUCACAUGGAAUGCAGUGAAUGAGGCUGCAAACCUUAUCUUAUACCACAUUCCCUCAAACGUUUUUAGAGACAAAUUUGACACGCAAAACUCCAUAAAAUAUAGAAGAAAACAUAGAAGAAAGUCAACAUAAUCUCGGAUUUGGUCACGUAGAACCUAAGCUUUGAGUUUCAACACAUGACACAAAAAGGCAAUCUACAAAGGAAAAUAAGCAAUACCAUGGACUUGAUCAAAUGAAAUGUUUCUACUCUGUGAGAGAUGUUGUUCAGGACAUCGGAAUACAAGUACACACUAGAAGUAAAAUUAUUUGCAAACACAUGUCUCAGAAAGAUUUUGUCUCAAAAUAUGCAAAGAACUCUAACGCAAACAACCCUAUUCCAAAUAGGGAAAGAUCUGAAUGGACACCUGGCCAGAGAAGAUACAGAUACCAUACCACAUUACGCCCAGGAUGGGGGAGGAGGGGGCCAGAAACACAAUGUCCAGCUCAACUCCUGAGCUCUGUGUGACCCUGGUCUAGUUCAAUAUGGAAAUAGUAGUACACAAAGCUAGGGCAAACAUGUUCAAUGUUAAAGACAGAAGGAUUUAAUUCUUGAGUUAGGAGCAAAGCCUGACACCUGGCCUUCACCGCUGUACAGUACACUGGAAGUUCUACCCAGUUUUGAGAAAAAAAGCCAUACGUGUGUAAAUGGAAAAAAAGAAAACUGUGUCUAUUCAGGGAACUCAGAUCACAUCCUCUCAUAUAUAAAACUUACUAUAAUCAACACAAAAAUAUUUAAGCUAAUCAACUAAUGCAGCGAAGUUACAUAUUCAUAACAGUCUAUCUUUUUUGUAUACACUCACAAUAAAUAAUCUGAAAAAUAAUUCAUGAAACCACUUGCAUUUCCAGUAACAUCAAUAUUUCUAUCCAGGAAUAUAUUUCAUCAACAUACAAGACUUGUUUUUAUGGAGGUAGAGUUAGUCUGUACGUUUGAAAUUACUGGAAAGUAAAUUACUUUUCAAGACACCAUGUCAAUACCAUGCCAGAAACGCUAAGAAAACAGCAGAUUUCCACACAGAAGCCAAGCCUUACCCAGAUCCAGUUCACCCAGGCUCCACACAGUUUAGAGGCACUGUGGAAAGGCUUUACGAGGAUCCACUCUCUUCUGUGCUGUGGAUGACCUGGGUGUGGUAGAAACAGUGGUAUUUUUUUUAAUUCCAAUUUUUCACAUCAUUCUACCACAAACCAAUCAGAAAUAAUAAAUGAAUUCAGAAGUUUCAGAAUCAAUACACAGAAAUCACCUGCAUUUCUAAACACUAAUAAUGAACCAUCAGAAAGAGAAAGAAAACAGUCCUAUUUAUAAUUGCAUCAAAAAGAACAAAAUACCUAGGAGUAAAUUUAACUAAGGCCAUGAAAGCCCUGCACACUGAAUACUUUGAGACAUUGAUGAAGAAAUUGAAAAAGACACAAAUAAAUGGAAAGAUACCCCGAACUCAUGGAUGGAAGAAUUAAUUUUGUUAAAAUGUCCAUUCUACCCUAAGGACUGUACACAGUGAAUACAAUCCCUAUCAAAAUCCCAAUGGCAUUUUUCACAGAAAUAGAGCGAAUCACCCUAAUAUUUGUGUGGAACCACAAAGGACCCCGAAUAGCCAAAGUGGCCUAAGAAAGAACAGGCUGGAGGCAUCUCCUGACUUCACACUACAAUACAAAGCUACAGUCACCAAAACAGUGUGAAACUGGGAUGAAAACAGGCACGUGGAGCAGAGGAACAGAACACAGAGCCCAGAAAUAAACCUACACAUAUGUGGCCGGAACACCCCAAGGGGAAGGACAGCGCCGUCAGCAGGCAAUGCUGGGAAAAGAGGACACCACAUGCCACGUGCUGUCUACACCAGACACAAAACAGAUAAAACCCCAGUUUUCCACACCAAGCCCACCUGGGUCGUCUGAAGAUGGACUCACCCGACCCCCCCCAGCAGUCAGCUGCACACAGGGAGCUUCUCCCCACUUGUCCUCACCUUUUCCUCCUGGAAGCACCGGGGUCAUCAGGAAAUCCAGCUUCUGUCAGCAUGGACGCAGCCCCGCCUUGUCCUGAAGCCACAGCCCCAGAAUCCUAAGGAGACUGAGUUCCUGUUGCAUAGACGCUGACCUGCAGUUUUUCCCCAAAGCGCAGCCAUGGUGGGGCCUGAGGAGACAGCUCCUCUCAGCAGAGAGCCAAGUCCAUGGUGGAAGCCACGUGGGUAAGAGGUGCAGGCUCAGCGCCACCCUGUGGUCAAUGCAGAGAGAGCAGGGCCAAGUUCACAGUCCAGUGGAGACAUUGCCCCCUGCUGGCAGAAGUGCUGAAUCCAUUAAACUGGAAAUUCAAACUGAAAUGGAGACAAUGUCCCUUAACAUCUCCAAAAAUAGUUAAGGAACAAUUAAUGGGAGACCGUAUGGAAUGAAGUGAGUGUAGCCAUAAGCCUUAUGACUUAUACCGAACUCACUCAAAAUUAUCGAUAGACAAAUUUUAAAUGCAGAACUAUUGAAAUUAUAGAGGUAAACGUAGAAGAACAUUUACAUGACCUUGGGUUCAGUCAUGUAGAGAAUGAGCUUUGAGUUUUACCACACAACACAGAAAGCCAACUUACAACAGGAAAACAAGGAAUAUAACAGACUUUACAAAAUUAAAGAUUUCUACUCUAGGAAAGACGUUAUUCAAAAAACCAAAAGACAAGCCACAAACUGAGAGAAAAAUAUUUGUGAAGCACAUAUCUGAUAAAGGAUUUGGACUCAAAAUAUACAAAGAACUCUAAAACAACCCCAUAAAAAUGAAAUGGGUAAAGAUCUUAACAGGUGCCUGGCCAAAGAAGACAUACAGAUACGCUCAACAUCCUGCACUAUUAAGGAAUUACAAAUUAAAAUCACGAGAUAUCACAGCACACCUAUUAGAACUGCUAAACUCCAAAAAUAUGAAAAUACCAGUUGCUGGUGGUGAGGAACAAGAACUCUCCUUCAUUGCUGGUGGAAUGCACGUACAGCCACUUUAUAAGACAGGUGGGCAGUUUCCCCCAAAGCUAAACAAUUCUCACCUUGGGAUCCAACAAUCUUGCUUCCAGCAAAUGCUUUGAAAACUUAUGUCCAAAUGCAAACAAGGCUGUAAUUAUGCACAGCAGCUUUACUCACGGUGGGUAAAAACUUGAAGAAAUCAGGAUGUCCUUUAAUAGAUGAAUGCAUAAGCAAACUGGGGUACAUCCAUGUCAAGGGGACCAGAAUAUGGAUUAAGGAGUGUCACAGGAUGGAAUAUGCAAUGUGACACAGAAUCUAACUGUAUUAGAAAUGUAUGGGGAAAAAAAAGAAAUGUAUGGACAAAACUCGAUGGUGGAGCAAAAAAUGCUGACUUAAAUUAACUUUGGAAAUGAAUAAAAUCUGUAUUGAAUUAAGUUUUGUUAA
Camelus dromedarius (Arabian camel) is the source of this 3873-nucleotide RNA transcript. RefSeq lists it as uncharacterized. The record is from RefSeq and is a predicted model, not a curated record. Lineage: Eukaryota; Metazoa; Chordata; Mammalia; Artiodactyla; Camelidae. The transcript has 2 exons.